Molecule: long non-coding RNA, 2099 nt
Filed under: Parus major (Great Tit)
Lineage: Eukaryota; Metazoa; Chordata; Aves; Passeriformes; Paridae
Description: lncRNA (ENSPMJG00000015509.1)
Source: RNAcentral
CUUUAUAAGUCACUGCUGGCCGGGCGCCCGCCCGCCUCUCCGCAGCCUCCGCGCCGGCAGCGCUGCCCGCUCCGCGCUGCCCCCGCCAUGCCCUAGCCCGGCCCGCCCGGGGACGCGCAGCAGCUCGGGGAGGGUCGGCAGCGAUGGCACCCCCGUGCCCGCGCCCCGCCCGCCCCUGAGGGCGGCUGCUGCCGCCGGGAUGUUCAGCUGGCAUCGGAGCUUCACCCUGGAAGCGCCCUGGAGAGGUGAGUCGGCCGCCCCGCCGGGGCCAGCCGGCGGCUGCCAACACCUCCCCGGACCCGCGCCCCUUCCACCCCCUUCCUUCCCCUCAGUGGCGGUGCAGACGAUCCUUAGGACAAGCCCAUCCCGGCCCGCCCUGCUCCCGGGCCCCGGUGGACGGGCACGGCGCCGCUGCCGCCCCGGCCCCAUGCUGCGCUCCCUGCUCUCCGGCUGCCUCUGUCCCCUCGCAGCAGGUAAGAAGAGCCCACCGGCUGAGGACAAAGUCGUGUUAACACACAUGAAGAUACUGAGCGAUGAAGGAAUUCAAAACCCAGGGUUAAUCCCAGAGGCUCCAGCUGACACAGCCUGCACAGAAGAGUCCCAGCUUCCCGGUGCCAGUCUCCCACCAGGCUGCCUGGCAAGCCCAGAUGCAGCAGCCACAGCAGCAGGUCCAGACUAUGUGGAUGGCCCGGCAAGCGCUGACUAUGUAGCCACCCUGCCUGACCUCAGUGCCUUCGAGUCCAAGUGCCGGCUUCACAGACUCUCCAAAUUUGAAUCUGAGGACUCGGGGGUUGAGUUGCCAAGCGGUGCUAAUUCUCCAUCAACGCCGACGGGCUCAGAGAAGAGCUUUGUGCUUCACAGCAGAGACUCAUUUUGUGACUCGGGUGUGCUUAGCACCUCUUCUUCUCCAGAAAUUGACCAUCAGUUAAUGAGAACAUGUAAAGAACGUGCCAGAAAAGUUAGCGUCCAAGAUCCAGAGAGCAAAAAGCAAACUGAUUACUACAGCCAGGAGGCAGAUGCUGUGCAGGAUCCUACAGCUUCCCUUGAAGAUUUCAAUGUCCCCCAGGAAGAAAGUCCCGAUGAACAUUUUGACCAGGGUGACAAGCAGUCUCCAGAAAAGGAACCUACCCCAGAGAUGGACUUUUCCAGGGAAAGCACUCUUUCUACCCCAGGUCCCAUAGAAGAGCCAAAUACAAUUGCUGACGAUUUCCCAGAGAAUUUUGGCAGCAUGCAAGACCUUCAGAUCCAUGAACAUCACCUGAAGAAGUAUCCCACAAGUGACAGCCUGGAUGAAUACAUGGAUGAAUGCUGUAGGCUGAGUGAGGUGAACCAAAGUAACAGCAAAGCCCUGGGAUCUGGUCUGGGAUACCUAGAACACAUCUGCCAACUGAUUGAGAAGAUUGGGCAGCUUCAGGAGCACAACCUGCGUCUCCAAAAACAAGUGUGCAGCUUGCAGAAGGAGCAGAAGAUGAGUCAGAUAAAAGAGGAAUAUCUUCUACAGCAUUGCUCCUGUGGAGCUGCCAGUAUCUUCCUUAACUCAUAUCAAGACAUGAAAACAAGUUUUGCUGGGAGGAGCAGACCUCACAGCCUCUUGGUUCAGACUGGAAACCCUUCUGAUCUUUCCAUCAUCCCAGAAAUAGGAGCAAACACUGAGAAGCUGAGCAGCUGCAAUGGAAGUGAGAGAUACCUGGAAUCAGGAAAGAGCCAGCCAAUGGUGGGGCUCAGGAAGUCAUCAAACAAUAGGAACAACAAGGAGAAUGAGUUCAGAGAAGUUGGGAGUAUGGCUGAGGGACAGGCUUUUCUGUCAAAGGACUCUGCAGUAAGAAAGGCUCUGGACAUCAGCAAGAACACCUCGGGUGAGAGCCAUGCUUGGAGGAGAAUGAGAGAUCUUAUGAGGAAGACGCGAUUGACAAACCAGAGCAAGCUGGGGCUGUCCUCUGCUGCUCUGAAGAGGUCCUGCCCACAGUUGUAUAGGCCAGAUAUUAUGUCUUCAGAGCUGAGGAAAACUGAGAGGAACUCCAUGAUUGUUCUGGGACAAAAUACAAAGAAUGAAAACUUAUGGCCUUUCUGAUAAUCUGAGUCAAACAGAGCAAGCUGAA